GAUGAAGAACGUAGCGAAAUGCGAUACUUGGUGUGAAUUGCAGAAUCCCGUGAACCAUCGAGUCUUUGAACGCAAGUUGCGCCCGAAGCCAUUAGGCCGAGGGCACGCCUGCCUGGGCGUCACACGUCGUUGCCCCCCAUCUACUCCUUCGGGAUUGCGGGGGGCGGAUGAUGGCCUCCCGUGCGCCUCGUCGCGCGGUUGGCAUAAAUGCCAAGUCCUCGGCGACGCACGCCACGACAAUCGGUGGUUGCGAAACCUCGGUUGCCCGUCGUGUGCGGUCGUCGCGCAUCGAGGGCUCGAAAAAAUUGCCGGGCUCCGGCUCGGCUUUCAACGCGACCCCAGGUCAGGCGGGGUUACCCGCUGAAUUUAAGCAUAUCAAUAAGCGGAGA
RNAcentral lists this unclassified non-coding RNA (389 nucleotides) under soil metagenome. Its description in RNAcentral is "partial contains 5.8S ribosomal RNA, internal transcribed spacer 2, and large subunit ribosomal RNA". The stretch from base 1 to 122 matches the Rfam family "5.8S ribosomal RNA", at positions 35 to 154 of the family's 154-position model. The record is from RNAcentral.